UUUUCCCCACUGGUGAUAAGGAACAAACACUCAUAACACAGCAUAAAGUAGGAUGAGGAGGGGACGCGGGUGGUGCUGUGGGUAAAAGCCUCAGUGCCUAGGGCUUGCCGAUCGAAAGGUCGGCGGUUCGAAUCCCCGCGGCGGGGUGCGCUCCCGUUGCUCAGUCCCAGCGCCUGCCAACCUAGCAGUUCGAAAGCACCCCCGGGUGCAAGUAGAUAAAUAGGGACCGCUUACCAGCGGGAAGGUAAACGGCGUUUCCGUGUGCGGCUCUGGCUCGCCAGAUGCAGCUUUGUCACGCUGGCCACGUGACCCGGAAGUGUCUCCGGACAGCGCUGGCCCCCGGCCUCUUAAGUGAGAUGGGCGCACAACCCUAGAGUCUGGCAAGACUGGCCCGUACGGGCAGGGGUACCUUUACCUUUA
This is a long non-coding RNA of Podarcis raffonei (Aeolian wall lizard), 420 nucleotides long. RefSeq lists it as uncharacterized. The record is from RefSeq and is a predicted model, not a curated record. The transcript has 2 exons. Lineage: Eukaryota; Metazoa; Chordata; Lepidosauria; Squamata; Lacertidae.